This is a long non-coding RNA of Clupea harengus (Atlantic herring), 1018 nucleotides long. The record is from Ensembl. NCBI's taxonomy places the organism in Eukaryota, Metazoa, Chordata, Actinopteri, Clupeiformes, Clupeidae.
GCAGAGGUCAUAAACACUGCUCAUCACCAGUGAUCACACAAAUCAACACGGAUGUUGAUAUUUGGAAGUACUGCUACCUCAUGACAAUAUGCUGCUGGUUCAUGUCUCUGUGUGACGGGGAAAGAUGGGCAGCAUCAUGGAAAAUGAGCAGGGGACAAAAUGCACAAAGAGCAAAGAAUUUUAUGGGCUGAAGAUUGCUGACCUGUUGCCCCACCUGGGGCAGAAGAGAGACCCCUCAGGGCAGCGGGGCCUCUCGCAGCUCCCCGUCCUCCCCUGUCCACCGUCUGUUUCCAAAGCAGCUGAUCCACCACCAGCCAAGGGAAGGGGUGCCCCUCUUGCCCCCCUGCCAGACAGCCUCCAGAGACUAGCAGAGCGUCGGUCUAAGCAGCACUACCACCAGACCAGCCCCAGCAGAGGCUCCAGAGGAGGCCAGACCUCGGACCUGAAGCAGAGAGCAGGGGCCUUUUCUAAGGCUCCCGCAGAAUUUGUCUUCCUGUCCUACAUUGCAGCAGGUCGACGGGGCUUGCAGCGCUCAGAGUCGCCAUCCUCUAUCAGGGCGCUGUUCCAGCAGGGAGUGCUGUCCUCACAGAUAUUAGGGUUGCGGGCGUGCAGCCCUGGCAGGAAGCCCAGCCUGUGGCUAGCACUGAAAGAGCCACGUGCAAACAGUGGCACGUGUGAGCAAUACUUUGAGGAUCUGGGGGACCUGGAGAGGAGGCUGUACCGAGGCGCCCAGCAGCGCUCCGACAGCGUCCUGAGGCCCCCACAGGAGGACGGCAUCCAGCGCAGAGCCCUCCGCAACACCUGCCUCUGCGACACGUCCAUGAGCUGCUCGCCACCACUGGUCUGCAGGAACCAGAUCUACUACACCUCCUUCUCCAAAUGAAUGACCUCACCUCCUUCUCCAAAUGAAUGACCUCACCUCCUUCUCCAAAUGAAUGACCUCACCUCCUUCUCCAAAUGAAUGACCUCACCUCCUUCUCCAAAUGAAUGAAUGCACCUCCUUCUCCAAAUGAAUGAC